Molecule: transfer RNA, 72 nt
Filed under: Camelus bactrianus (Bactrian camel)
Lineage: Eukaryota; Metazoa; Chordata; Mammalia; Artiodactyla; Camelidae
Also listed under: 2 other names
Rfam family: tRNA
About the family: Transfer RNA (tRNA) molecules are approximately 80 nucleotides in length. Their secondary structure includes four short double-helical elements and three loops (D, anti-codon, and T loops). Further hydrogen bonds mediate the characteristic L-shaped molecular structure. tRNAs have two regions of fundamental functional importance: the anti-codon, which is responsible for specific mRNA codon recognition, and the 3' end, to which the tRNAs corresponding amino acid is attached (by aminoacyl-tRNA synthetases). tRNAs cope with the degeneracy of the genetic code in two manners: having more than one tRNA (with a specific anti-codon) for a particular amino acid; and 'wobble' base-pairing, i.e. permitting non-standard base-pairing at the 3rd anti-codon position.
Source: Rfam by way of RNAcentral
GAGGGUAUAGCUUAGUGGUAGAGCAUGUGCUUAGCAUGCAUGAGGUCUUGGGUUCAAUCCCCAUUACCUCCA